RNAcentral lists this ribosomal RNA (253 nucleotides) under uncultured bacterium. Its description in RNAcentral is "partial 16S ribosomal RNA". It matches the Rfam family "Bacterial small subunit ribosomal RNA", at positions 524 to 776 of the family's 1533-position model. The record is from RNAcentral.
GACAGAGGCCCCGAGCGUUAGGCGGAAUCACUGGGCUUAAAGCGUGUGUAGGCGGGCCCGUAAGUACCUUGUGAAAUCCCACGGCUCAACCGUGGAACGGCUGGGUAUACUGCGGGUCUUGGGCCAACUAGGGGCAGCCGGAACAAGCGGUGGAGCGGUGAAAUGCGUAGAUAUUGGGAGGAACACCAGUGGCGAAGGCGGCUCACUGGACCGGAACUGACGCUGAGGCGCGAAAGCGUGGGGAGCAAACAGG